GGUUCUCCCUGGUCCCACCUGGCCUUGCCCUGGAGUCCGUGUCUGCUUUCAGUUGAGCCGUGAGGGAUCCGGUUACUCCAUAGAUCAGAGCGCUGAGCGACUCCUGGUUCGGCCGGAGAAAGAGCCGCGCUCUUCCUGUGGACCCUGCUCUGCUUGUCCCUCCAGACGCCUCACCCUGACCUUCCGGCGUAAGCUCAGGUCUCUGCCCCUCAAGGAAACCUUCCUGCCCCACCGCCCCCAUUUGGUGAUGAAGCUUCAUCCUGUGCUCCUGAGCCAAGGCGUCCUGGCCCCUGUAACCUGCUCUGCUUCCGUGCCUGUAGCACGCAUCAUCUGACUUUUACUUUUCAUGUCAUUGUUGACUGUUCAGCUCCCAAGGCGGAGGUGAGCUCUGAUUUUCUUUAGGGACAUAUUCCAGGCUCCUGGAAGAGGUCCUGGCAGGUUGCAGCUUUGACAAAUUUGGAUGGAACUGAGGAAGCUGGCGGAGAGGACAGAGAUGCUCAGUUGCUCAUAGGAAAAACUGUGGGUCAAGCACUAUUGGAUUCCAGCAUGUCAGCAAUCAAUCAAUCAGUCAAUCACCUUUUUUUGAAGUGUGAAUUCCUUGACUCCAGUUUCCUAAAAGAGCAAGUAAAAAGUAAGGGAAAAUACAAAUUAAAAGUAAGUGGUGUAAUUCUUCCUGUAUUAACAGGAGAGAGCCCUGGAACCUUUUCUCAGAGCAUUUACUGUCAAACUUGUAAUUGAAAGUUCUUUGUCUCUUUGAAAUGUGUACAACUCUUUUUAAAAGCUAAAUAAGCUUUGUGACAGUUUUACAGCCCAGGAAUGUCUUUCUCAAGGACUUGGGAGCCAUCCAUUUGAAACAGUCUUCCAGGAAGGCAGCUCCAGGUUCCCUGGGAGGUUUGGGCCUAGAGUCAGCUGGCAGGGCCUCAAAGUUGCAAACCCACCUCCUGUUGUAAAGAUAGGAGUUUAUUUUUCCUUCCAGAUAAAACCAGUUAACUAAUGGUGGCCAUCCCAAUUGCCAGACAAAUCUGGGGUGAGCUAUGAGUGGCAAAUGGUGCCGUGGUGUCCUCUCACCUGAGUCCGAGUUCUCGCCCACCUGAGAAUGAGUGUGGUGGCUGCACCUGCUGGCCAUGUGAAGCUGAGUUCCCGUGUUCCCACGUCCUCGAGAGGCAGACUGACCUUGGUUUUCUGAAGCGUGGAUGUCUCUUCACCCGUCCCUGGGAAUUGCUCCGUGACUUCUUUUACCAGAUGGCGAAGUCCUCACUGAGGGAUUUUUAAGGAUUGUUUGUGCUUGACAAUGGGAUCCGAGUGCUGCGGCCAUCAGGAGCCAGGGGUGUUUCGGAUGGGGCCCUAAGUGUCCUGCUGCCUUCAAAGUGACAGAGAUGGACGAGCAAUGUCCCCCGCUGUCCCCAGAGCCAGAG
Molecule: long non-coding RNA, 1415 nt
Organism: Cercocebus atys (sooty mangabey)
Lineage: Eukaryota; Metazoa; Chordata; Mammalia; Primates; Cercopithecidae
Exons: 3
Source: RefSeq, a predicted model, not a curated record